This 71-nucleotide transfer RNA is filed under the name Loxodonta africana (African savanna elephant). It matches the Rfam family "tRNA". From Rfam's summary of the family: Transfer RNA (tRNA) molecules are approximately 80 nucleotides in length. Lineage: Eukaryota; Metazoa; Chordata; Mammalia; Proboscidea; Elephantidae. The record is from Rfam by way of RNAcentral.
GCAGUGGUGGUUCAGUGGUAGAAUUCUCAUCUUCCAUGUGGAAGAUCUGGGUUCAAUUCCCAGCCAAUGCA